CAGUCGCCGCGGUAAUACGGAGGGGGCUAGCGUUGUUCGGAAUUACUGGGCGUAAAGCGUACGUAGGCGGCUUUGUAAGUUAGAGGUGAAAGCCUGGUGCUCAACACCAGAACUGCCUUUAAGACUGCAUCGCUUGAACGUCGGAGAGGUGAGUGGAAUUCCGAGUGUAGAGGUGAAAUUCGUUGAUAUUCGGAAGAACACCAGUGGCGAAGGCGGCUCACUGGACGACUGUUGACGCUGAGGUACGAAAGCGUGGGGAGCAAACAGGAUUAGAUACCCCUGUAGUCCCUGUCUCUUAUAC
Molecule: ribosomal RNA, 301 nt
Filed under: uncultured bacterium
Lineage: Bacteria
Description: partial 16S ribosomal RNA
Rfam family: Bacterial small subunit ribosomal RNA
Source: RNAcentral